UUGCUUCAGCAGCACGUACACUAAAAUUGGAAUGAUACCGAGAAGAUUAGCAGGCUAAAUGACAUGCAGGGUUCUGGGAAGGGAAAAUGCAUUAU
Molecule: non-coding RNA, 95 nt
Organism: Podarcis lilfordi (Lilford's wall lizard)
Lineage: Eukaryota; Metazoa; Chordata; Lepidosauria; Squamata; Lacertidae
Source: the annotation of a GenBank genome assembly